This 1411-nucleotide ribosomal RNA is filed under the name Solanum arcanum. Its description in RNAcentral is "bacterial SSU rRNA". It matches the Rfam family "Bacterial small subunit ribosomal RNA". The record is from RNAcentral. Lineage: Eukaryota; Viridiplantae; Streptophyta; Magnoliopsida; Solanales; Solanaceae.
GUUAUAGUAGCUUAUUCCAUUUGGAAGGAUUUUUGUUUAAGAAAGCUUUUCGUGCCCUUACUUUUGAGUCUAUCAGCUGCAACAAGGGCUGCCGGAACGAAUGCAUAACGCAUUGGAAUCUACCAAACAGUUCGGGCAAAAUCCUGAAGCAAGCUAAAAUGUGUUGUUUGAUGAGCCUGCGUAGUAUUAGGUAGUUGGUCAGGUAAAGGCUGACCAAGCCAAUGAUGCUUAGCUGGUCUUUUCGGAUGAUCAGCCACACUAGGACUGAGACACGGCACGGACUCCCACGAGGGGCAAUAGUGAGGAAUCUUGAACAAUGGGUGAAAGCCCGAUCUAGUAAUAUCGUAUGAUUGAAUAAUGGCAAUGACUCUUGUAAGACUCUUUCAUCGAGUGCGCGAUCAUGAAAGGACUCGAGGAAGAAGACCCGGAUAACUCCAUGUAGGCAGUCGCGGUAAGACGGGGGGCAAGUGUUCUUCAGAAUAACUGGGCGUAAAGGGGACGUAGAUGGUGAAUCGGUGUUACAUGGCUAUCGGCAUCUCGUGUCGUGAGAUGUUUUGUCAAGUCCUAUAACGAGCAAAACCCUCGUUUUGUGUUACUGCGACAUGUGCCUAACGAAAAAGUCUUUGCAACCGAAGUGAGCCGAGGAGCCGAGUGACGUGCCAGCGCUACUAGUUGAGUGCCAGCACCUAGCUUCGCUGUUAGUAUGAAGGUAGCCGGUGCCCUUCGUAGAACUUUCUAUUUCUAGUUAGCAUUGUUUUAUUAUUCCAGCUAGUGCGCUUGACUAAUAAGAUAGAAAGGGCCUUUCUCUCUUGUUUAGUAAGGUCAUGUUUUUGGCCUUAUCUUGCAGGUGACGACGAUGUCAAGUUGACGACAAAGAAAGACUCGUCAUUCAGGAGAGCCACCCGAUGGUGCGGUACGUAGUGGGUUUAGUACGCCACGCCCAAAAAAUGGCUUCGAAACAUACAAAAAGGUGUGUGCCGCACUCACGAAGGACUGCCAAUUAUAUACUGGAGGAAGGUGGGGAUGACGUCAAGUCCUUAUUGCCCUUAUGGGCUGGGCCGCACACGUGCUACAUUGGAAAUUACAAUGGGAAGCAAGGCUGUAAGGCGGAGCGAAUCCGGAAAGAUUGCCUCAGUUCGGAUUGUUCUCUGCAACUCGGGAAUAUAAUGAUUGAAUCGCUAGUAAUAGCGGAUCAGCAUGCCGCGGUGAAUAUGUGCCCGAAACAUGUACACAUAGCCCCUCACACCCUGGGAAUUGGUUUCGCCCGAAGCAUCGAACAAAUGAUAACCCAUGACUUCUGUGGAACACUAGUGCCACAAAGGCCUUUAGUGGUCUUAUUGGCGUAUACCACAGUGGGGUCUUUGACUGGGUGGAAGUCGUAACAAGGUAGCCGUAAGGGAACCUGUGGCUG